UGAGGUGUAGCUUACUGGUAGAGUGCUUGCCUAGCAUGUGUAUGGGCCUGAGUUCAAUCCUCAGUGCUGCAA
RNAcentral lists this transfer RNA (72 nucleotides) under Fukomys damarensis (Damara mole-rat). It matches the Rfam family "tRNA". From Rfam's summary of the family: Transfer RNA (tRNA) molecules are approximately 80 nucleotides in length. Their secondary structure includes four short double-helical elements and three loops (D, anti-codon, and T loops). Lineage: Eukaryota; Metazoa; Chordata; Mammalia; Rodentia; Bathyergidae. The record is from Rfam by way of RNAcentral.